RNAcentral lists this ribosomal RNA (255 nucleotides) under uncultured bacterium. RNAcentral describes it as "partial 16S ribosomal RNA". It matches the Rfam family "Bacterial small subunit ribosomal RNA", at positions 524 to 776 of the family's 1533-position model. The record is from RNAcentral.
UACAGAGGUGGCAAGCGUUGUUCGGAAUUACUGGGCGUAAAGGGUGCGUAGGCGGCGCGGUAAGUCGGGUGUGAAAUCUCGGAGCUUAACUCCGAAACUGCAUUCGAUACUGCCGUGCUUGAGGACUGGAGAGGAGACUGGAAUUCCUGGUGUAGCGGUGAAAUGCGCAGAUAUCAGGAGGAACACCGGUGGCGAAGGCGGGUCUCUGGGCCGAUACUGACGCUGGAGGAGCGAAAAGCGUGGGGAGCAAACAGG